CACAAGCGGUGGAGCAUGUGGUUUAAUUGGAAGCAACGCGAAGAACCUUACCUGGUCUUGACAUCCCGAUGACGAGUGAGCAAAGUCACUUUCCCUUCGGGGCAUUGGAGACAGGUGGUGCAUGGUUGUCGUCAGCUCGUGUCGUGAGAUGUUGGGUUAAGUCCCGCAACGAGCGCAACCCCUAUUUCCAGUAGCCAGCAGGUAGAGCUGGGCACUCUGGAGAGACUGCCCGGGAUAACCGGGAGGAAGGCGGGGAUGACGUCAAAUCAUCAUGCCCCUUAUGAUCAGGGCUACACACGUGCUACAAUGGCGUAAACAAAGGGAAGCGAGACGGUGACGUUGAGCAAAUCCCAAAAAUAACGUCCCAGUUCGGAUUGUAGUCUGCAACUCGACUACAUGAAGCUGGAAUCGCUAGUAAUCGCGAAUCAGAAUGUCGCGGUGAAUACGUUCCCGGGUCUUGUACACACCGCCCGUCACACCAUGGGAGUCGGAAAUGCCCGAAGUCAGUGACCUAACCGAAAGGAAGGAGCUGCCGAAGGUGGAGCCGGUAACUGGGGUGAAGUCGUAACAAGGUAACCGU
This 580-nucleotide ribosomal RNA is filed under the name uncultured bacterium. RNAcentral's name for it is "bacterial SSU rRNA". It matches the Rfam family "Bacterial small subunit ribosomal RNA", at positions 924 to 1503 of the family's 1533-position model. The record is from RNAcentral.